RNAcentral lists this transfer RNA (60 nucleotides) under Metacrangonyx sp. 1 MDMBR-2012. Its description in RNAcentral is "transfer RNA Glutamine". Lineage: Eukaryota; Metazoa; Arthropoda; Malacostraca; Amphipoda; Metacrangonyctidae. The record is from RNAcentral.
UUUACUUUGGUGUAUGGAGCACAUAAAAUUUUGAUUUUUAUAGAAGAAAUCUAAGUAGUU